GCAGCCGCGGUAAUUCCAGCUCUCAUACUGCAUUGAAUUGCUGUUGCGGUUAAAAAGUUCGUAGUUGCAAGUGUACGGAGUGAGAUGGUUUAACUUAUUGUUAAUACUAUUUCUACCGUUAAGAGUUAAUAUGGUUAAUACCCAUAUAACUCAGUUACUUUGAGUAAAUCAGAGUGCUUAGAACAAGCGUAUUGCUUGAAUGGUUGUGCAUGGAAUAACAAUACAAUGCAUUGAUAUUUGUUUUGUUGGUUUUAAUGUCAAUGAAUGAUUAAAAGGAACAAACGGGGGCAAAAGUAUCAUAAGGCGAGAGGUGAAAUUCGUGGACCCUUGUGAGACUGCCUAAAGCGAAAGCAUUUGCCAAGAAUGUUUUCAUUAAUCAAGAACGAAAGUCAGAGGAUCGAAGGCGAUUAGAUACCGCCCUAGUUCUGACCGUAAACUAUGCCAUCUAACGAGUCGGUAUUGGUUAUAAAUUGCCAUUUUGACGAGUUACCCGGAAACGAAAGUCUUUCGGUUCCGGGGGGAGUAUGGUUGCAAAACUGAAACUUAAAGGGAUUGACGGAAAGUCACCACCAGAAAUGGAGCCUGCGGCUUAAUUUGACUCAACACGGGAAAACUCACCCGGUCUAGACACUAAAAUGAAUGACAGACUGAUAUAUCUCUCAAGAUAUAGUGCAAAGUGGUGCAUGGCCGUUCUUAGUUCGUGGAGUAAUCUGUCUGGUUAAUUUCGAUAACGAACGAGACUAGAACAUAGUUAAUUGUGUGUAGUAUUAUUAUUUUAUUACACGGUGAUAAAUGGAUAUGCAAAUUAAAUUGCCUGAAAACUGGCAAUAACAGGUCUGUUAUGCCCUUAGUUGUCCGGGGCCGCACGCGCGCUACAAUGGAAAUUGCAGUGCGUAUAUACUAUAUCGAAAGAUAUGGUUAAACGUGUCAAAUUAUUCCGCAUUCGGGAUCGGAGACUGUAAUUGUUUCCGUGAACGAGGAACUUCAAGUAAGUGUGUGUCAUUAGCGCACGCUGAUUACGUCCCUGUCUUUUGUACACACCGCCCGUCGCUGCCUAGAACUGAGUUGAUUCGAGAAGAUGGGGGAGAGUAGUAUAUGUAGCAAUACAUAUAUUGUUCGAACCCAUUUGAUCGUAUUGGCUUGAACCAGGCAAAAGUCGUAACAAGGUGGCCGUAGGUGAACCUGCGGGCCGGAUCAUUA
Molecule: ribosomal RNA, 1200 nt
Filed under: Halicephalobus gingivalis
Lineage: Eukaryota; Metazoa; Nematoda; Chromadorea; Rhabditida; Panagrolaimidae
Description: SSU rRNA
Rfam family: Eukaryotic small subunit ribosomal RNA
Source: RNAcentral